Long non-coding RNA from Phacochoerus africanus (Common warthog), 1202 nucleotides. RefSeq lists it as uncharacterized. The record is from RefSeq and is a predicted model, not a curated record. Lineage: Eukaryota; Metazoa; Chordata; Mammalia; Artiodactyla; Suidae. The transcript has 4 exons.
CCCUUCCAAAACUUCUCACCCCCUCUCUGCUUAAAUAAUUGCGUAAGACCGGAGUGGGAGGAGGGGGUAAGAUUUUAUUUUUUUAUCCACGCAAAUGAGAAAUAGGAAACCCGAGAAGAUGCGCUCGGCUCCAAGGAAAUUAUCCUUCAAAAGUGAAGGAACAACUUUUCUCAAACAAAAUUUGAGGAAGUUUGUGGCCAGUAGAUCUGCCUUGCAAAAAAGAUUAAAAGAAGUUCUCCAGAGAGAUGGAAAAUAAUGUAAGCCAGAAACUCAGAUCUUUAGAAGAAUGAGUAUUGGCAAAGAAUAAGUGAAGGACGUCAGAGAGGAGGUGAUCAAGUAGUAUCAAGUUUGCCAUUCUUAGCUCCUCACCCCCCUUCAGAUGUGAAAUGGGGGAAAGUGAAGCAGCUUGGAGUUACUGGAAAUUGAAGGUUUUCCUGAGGAGAAUUACUGUGCUACGAGGGCCACUCAUGUCAAGGGGCAGCAAAUAAAUAAAUGCUUCAUCAAAUUAGAAGAAGAGAAUUUCAACUUCCUAAUCAGAGACAAAGAUUAAGAAAUUGAUUUCUGUUGCCUGUGCUUGCUACAAGAAAACUGGACAAAUACAUAUGGAUAAAUUUUUUGAAAAGGUACUAAAUCCACCCCACCCCUGUUCCCACAUUUCUCCUUGAGUGUGGGCUGUACUUAGUGACUUGCUUCUAAUGAAUAGACUAUGGGAAAAAGGGAAAGUAACUUUAGAGUGGAAGAAAAUGACCAACACUAUCUUAAGGUUGAUAUCAAUGCUAACCUCUUCAGUGACUCAGUGUUAAUGAUGUGUACCCUUGCUAUGAUGUGAUAACAAUGGCACUUGACAUCUGUGAUAUUCUUUCUCCAAAUCCAUCACCCCAGUCUAACAGUGAGAAAAGCACUAAACAAAUCCACAAUGAGGGACUUUAUGCAAAAUACCUAACCAGUACUUCAUGAACACUCCAAGGUCAUCAAAAUCAAAGACAACACAUUGCCACAGACCAGAGAAUACUAAGACCAGAGAAUGCACUGGCCAAAUGCAAUGUGGUACCCUGGGCGGGAUCUGAAAACAAAGGACAUUAGGGAAAAGCUAAUGAAAUCUGAAUAAAGUCUCAAGUUUAGUUAAUAGUGGUACAUCAGUAUUGGUUUGCUGGAGUUUCCAUAGUGGUACACUGGAAACGAAUCCAACUAGGAACCAUGAG